GAAAUGCAUUUUAUUUACAUAAUUUAUUGGUGCGAGAGAUCGCUCAGGACUUCAAGACCGACCUGCGCUUCCAGAGCGCCGCCAUCGGAGCGCUGCAGGAGGCCAGCGAGGCGUAUCUGGUCGGUCUGUUUGAGGACACUAACUUGUGUGCCAUCCACGCCAAGCGCGUCACCAUCAUGCCCAAAGACAUCCAGCUGGCGCGCCGCAUCCGCGGAGAACGUGCCUGAGAAGGUUGAAUAAGUGGGUCAGGGCUGAUGUCUGCAUUCAGGGCUUUGCGUCUCUCAUGCAGGGUGCUAAAACAGCUCUGACCUGUCCCAGAAUUCCCUGCACCGUCCAUCACGAGCGCACGUGUGUGUGUGUGAGGCUGUCGAUCAGCACGGGGUUUGUAUACGAGCAUCUCUCCAACAAAUGUUUAUUAUUGCAAUAUUAAGAAUUACUUUUAAUAAUUAUUGAUGUCUGUUUCUUUUUUUUAAUGCAUUCAUAUAAAGCUUGUUUCAUAGAUCUAGAGCAUAUUUUUGAAGGUGGAGAUUCUUAUAAAGGCAUUUUUACAUCACAAAUCAUGUUUAUUUUCUAAAGGAUGAGUUUGGGUUCAGUCUCAGGCAUGUGAAGGGAUGUUCAACAUUACUCUAAUUGGCUUCAGCGCUGAGAAUAACAUGUUUAUCUGCAUAAACGACCUGUUCAUUGAUAGGAGAGUCUGGAUGGACUGACUUAUUAAUUUGAACUGAAUAAAUAUAUAUUGGCUUGAUACUGUUUUUGAGUUUCGCCACGAUAAUUUCCUUCAUUACAGAGCAGUUUUCUACUCUCAUCCCUUCAGCGUCUCACGACUCCUCAGGCAGACAUGGAAACAUUAUUAUUAUUAAAUCCUGCUUGAUUUGUGGCUGUUUUUGUUUCUCCUUUAUUCAGAGUCUGACUACAGAACAUUCAGGUGUUUCAAUAAACUGAUCUUUGUCAAUUUCUCCUAAUUGUGUAAUAAAUGGAUGUCACACACUUUUGUGGUUUGUCUUUUAUUGUGAUGUUAAAAUAAA
RNAcentral lists this long non-coding RNA (1025 nucleotides) under Sinocyclocheilus grahami. RNAcentral describes it as "lncRNA (ENSSGRG00000018427.1)". The record is from RNAcentral. Lineage: Eukaryota; Metazoa; Chordata; Actinopteri; Cypriniformes; Cyprinidae.